UACGGGGGGAGCAAGCGUUGUUCGGAUUUACUGGGCGUAAAGGGCGCGUAGGCGGCCAGCACAAGUCAGUUGUGAAAUCUCCGAGCUUAACUCGGAAAGGUCAACUGAUACUGUGCGGCUAGAGUGCGGAAGGGGCAACUGGAAUUCUUGGUGUAGCGGUGAAAUGCGUAGAUAUCAAGAGGAACACCUGCGGCGAAGGCGGGUUGCUGGGCCGACACUGACGCUGAGACGCGAAAGCGUGGGGAGCGAACAGG
Molecule: ribosomal RNA, 254 nt
Filed under: uncultured bacterium
Lineage: Bacteria
Description: partial 16S ribosomal RNA
Rfam family: Bacterial small subunit ribosomal RNA
Source: RNAcentral